RNAcentral lists this unclassified non-coding RNA (401 nucleotides) under Hevea brasiliensis (rubber tree). Lineage: Eukaryota; Viridiplantae; Streptophyta; Magnoliopsida; Malpighiales; Euphorbiaceae. The record is from RNAcentral.
ACCUCCAUGGCUCAUAUUCAACACAUCAUAUCACUUCGCCUGAGAUAGGACAUGCAAAAGUACCAUUCUCUCGCCCAUAAAUCACCUAUUCAUUGCUUAUACCCUGUCAGCUUACGUUUGCAUUCUAGGGUUUGGAAACGUAACCGAACAUUGAAAGACAAUAAAAAAAAAAAAACAAUGGAAGCUAAGAGAGCAUAGAAACAGAAAUCUGGGGAUCAAUCGAUCAGCAAAAGAACCCUAGCGGGAUAGGAAAUGACAAAUGUUGAAGAAAGAAAGGUUAAUUAGGGUAUUGUCCGUGGUUUUAUAGUGUAAAUUAGGGUUUACAUGGAAAUAAAACCCUUGUAAAACCCCGAGGAAUGGAAAGAAGGUGAGAUUUGAGAGCUCCAAAGAGCAAGGCGUCA